GGUGGCUCAGUGGUAAAAAGAAUCUGCCUGCCAAGCAGAAGACACAGGUUCAAUCCCUGGGUCC
Molecule: transfer RNA, 64 nt
Filed under: Bos taurus (domestic cattle)
Lineage: Eukaryota; Metazoa; Chordata; Mammalia; Artiodactyla; Bovidae
Also listed under: 4 other names
Rfam family: tRNA
About the family: Transfer RNA (tRNA) molecules are approximately 80 nucleotides in length. Their secondary structure includes four short double-helical elements and three loops (D, anti-codon, and T loops).
Source: Rfam by way of RNAcentral